CCGGCCCCUUCCCUCUCGGAUGGGGGCCCUGGGGGUGACGUACACACCCCAUCCUUCCCGCACCGCCUCCGCCCGCCGCCCGUCGCCCGCCAUAGUUGUUGACGUAGCUUUAGUCGAUCGCGAAGAUGGCUUUAUGGACCCUAGGUUCUCCUGCCGGUGGUGGCGAUGGCUUCUCGGGGGUGUUAGGCGGUGGCCGCUGUGGUCAGGGAGGCAGUUGCGAGUCGCUGGGGCCGCCGCCUGCGUCGUCGCUGCUGUGUAGCAAACCUGCCUCUGGGCCCAUGGUGUGUCUUGAGGGCUGUGAGAGAGGCAGUGCCUGAGCUGGGUCAGCUGCUGUGGAUCGCUCCCGCCUCCUGGCUGGAGGCACCAAAGAGGAGGAGAAGGGGGAGGAGGACGUCUCUGCCAUCGCCCUUAAGUAAAGGAGGGGUGGGGGCGAUAGAAGGGUGGCAGGGCAACUUGCCUGUCCUAAGUCUAGCCGCUCGUGGCAAGUGUUGACUGCGUGUAGGAGACUCCCGUCCUAUCUCCCAGUACCAAGUCUCGGGGAAAACGAGUGCGACGAGGGUGGAGAAGACCAAGUUUCGCUUCUCGGCCCCAGGCUGUUGCGCAGUUUCCCUGGAAUCUUUUUGAUCGACUGCUACGUUGACCAUGUCCUUCCCAGUGUCCUUAGCAGGAGUGAUGGCCAGAGAGAUAACUUUUGCACAUGCCAUGUUUUCGUGGCAAAAAUUUUAGUUUCAAGUACCUUAUGAGGGCGGUUACCUAGUUUUAAAUUUUGUCACUUGUUGAGGGUGUACAAAAUCCUAUCUAGAGUCAUACUCGUUGGAUGUAUUUUCUUUUCCGAAAUGUACCCAUAGGACACAUAACCUUAUUCCUGGUCUUUAAUAUUUCUCGGUUUUAUACCAAGCAGCAGUGUUCGGAAGACCAUGUUAGUGCUACAUUGUGCACAGUGAGAAAUGAACAAGUUUUUAAAUUAAAGACAGCACUGUAAUUUUAA
RNAcentral lists this long non-coding RNA (988 nucleotides) under Pan troglodytes (chimpanzee). Its description in RNAcentral is "lincRNA". Lineage: Eukaryota; Metazoa; Chordata; Mammalia; Primates; Hominidae. The record is from RNAcentral.